AAAAACAUAGCCUUUAGCAAAACAAGUAUUAAAGGUCUAGCCUGCCCAGUGAGUUAUUUCAACGGCCGCGGUAUCCUAACCGUGCAAAGGUAGCGUAAUCAUUUGUCUUCUAAAUAGAGACUUGUAUGAACGGCUAACUGAGGGCCCAACUGUCUCCUUAGGCCAAUCAAUGAAACUGAUCUUUCAGUACAAAAGCUGAAAUAAACACAUAAGACGAGAAGACCCUGUGGAGCUUAAAACCUACACUAUAAACGCCCAUCCAUCCCUAAAGGGACACCUCCCUCCCCAUAGUAAAAAGUUUUUAGUUGGGGCGACUUUGGAACAAAACAGAACUUCCAUGCCAGGGACCCUCCCUAUAAAGGCUUACAUGCCAAAAUAAUACUCUUUUGACCCAGCCUGUCUGAUCAACGAACCAAGUUACCCCAGGGAUAACAGCGCCAUCCUCUUCAAGAGUUCCUAUCGACAAGAGGGUUUACGACCUCGAUGUUGGAUCAGGACACCCCGGUGGUGUAGCCGCUACCAAAGGUUCGUUUGUUCAACGAUUAACAGU
This 550-nucleotide ribosomal RNA is filed under the name Woodworthia maculata (Raukawa gecko). RNAcentral describes it as "partial 16S ribosomal RNA". It matches the Rfam family "Bacterial large subunit ribosomal RNA", at positions 1809 to 2594 of the family's 2925-position model. Lineage: Eukaryota; Metazoa; Chordata; Lepidosauria; Squamata; Diplodactylidae. The record is from RNAcentral.